This 72-nucleotide ribosomal RNA is filed under the name Weissella confusa. Its description in RNAcentral is "partial 16S ribosomal RNA". It matches the Rfam family "Bacterial small subunit ribosomal RNA", at positions 1462 to 1533 of the family's 1533-position model. The record is from RNAcentral. RNAcentral also lists the same sequence under 1 other name. Lineage: Bacteria; Bacillati; Bacillota; Bacilli; Lactobacillales; Lactobacillaceae.
GUGGGACAGAUGAUUAGGGUGAAGUCGUAACAAGGUAGCCGUAGGAGAACCUGCGGCUGGAUCACCUCCUUU